Molecule: long non-coding RNA, 963 nt
Organism: Cloeon dipterum
Lineage: Eukaryota; Metazoa; Arthropoda; Insecta; Ephemeroptera; Baetidae
Exons: 3
Source: RefSeq, a predicted model, not a curated record
UUCACAGGACCAUGCUAUGAGCCAGAACUGCGUGAAGAAAUUUUGUUUGUUUACUUCUGCCAACCCAAGAAGAACAUCUGUGCAUUGAAAAUUAACGAAAGAACCUUUUGGAGAAAGAUUUUCUUGAACUUGGAUAGGGUGUCACUAAAGGAGUCAAGGGAUGCAGCAGCGAGUCAGAGAAGUAAACACUCCCAUUCAAAUAAUGACGCUGUGUCCGACCGACGUCGGACGGCUGUCCUCGCAUCGCAGGUGGACAGGGUCAGGCUGAGGAAAUUGGCCAUGAAGGUCAUGAGUCAUGAACCUGACAGGAAGAGACGAAAAUUUGCCGGAGGUGGUCGCAAAAGACGAUUAAAUCUGCUAUUUUUGCAUCUGGCAGGCCAAGUUUGGAGAUGAGUCUGUUGCUUGGCGGCCGAAAAAUUUAGAUUUGGAUGAAAACGCUAAGGUGCUCCAGGAGGAUUCUUCAGGAAAUUUGGUGGGCAUGUUGAGCAGUGUUGGGCGCAGUUGGAAGAGGUUGAUCUGGCCAAAUACACAAGAAAAUCCCUAGGAAGAGAAAUUACUUCAGUGGAGUGCGUUUUACUGCUGGAUCACGUCAAAGUGAUGCACAAAGAAGCCAUCAAAUGCGGAAUUUUUGGCUGCACGACAUUCUUUCACAGUGAGGAGGAAAAAGAGCAGCACAUGCAGCAGGAUUUUCAAAAGAAACGUAACAAAUUAAUGCGAAUUUGGAGAAAACAUCAAUAUUUUUCCCUCAUUGAUAACGUAGAGGCUUCAUGUGAGUUUCCUGCAUCCGGAAUUUCCGUUGGCGUGCCCGCGUUUUGGCUGCAAAAAUCACUUCAAAUCCAAGUUGGAAAUGAUUCUCCACGUCAACUCGAGAGUCGAGGCACAAACUAAACCGAGAAGUUAACCAAUGCAAGCAUUGCGAGUAGAUAUCUAAACUAGCUGCGCCACACCAGCCAGCCACUGACA